AGUUCAGUGGUAGAACAUUGUCUGGCAUGCAAGAGUCCUGGGUUCAAUCCCCAG
Molecule: transfer RNA, 54 nt
Filed under: Ictidomys tridecemlineatus (thirteen-lined ground squirrel)
Lineage: Eukaryota; Metazoa; Chordata; Mammalia; Rodentia; Sciuridae
Description: Spermophilus tridecemlineatus (thirteen-lined ground squirrel) tRNA
Source: Rfam by way of RNAcentral